GUUAGGGUUUCAGUUUCACUUCCUCUUUCAAAAAAAAAUCAAAAUUUGAUCAAAAAACCCACCUUUCACUCUUACUCUCACUCCUUUUCUUGCCAAAUUCUCCACUCCGUUUCCCGUAAUCACUCCACAUUUUUACGAAAUUCGGACAAUUUUCACAUUCAAGAUUGUUGUCUACUUUCACUUAAAUAGAGAAUAAACAUGCACUCUCUGGUACAUAAUUAUCCAUAACAUUCUUUUUCGAUCAGUGGGUGUGGGUUGUUAUGGAUGUUCACGUGAUUGAUGAAGAGGAGGGGAUGGGUCAUCGUAUGAUGGUGUACGAUGGAGAUGCUGAACCCAAUGAGGGUGGAGAAGCAAACAAUGCAGAGAAUUCCUCAGCACAUGAUGAGGAUGGGGUAGUUGAGCCACAUGUGGGUAUGGAAUUUCAUUCUGAGGAUGCUGCUAAAACUUUCUAUGAUGAGUAUGCAAAGCGUCUAGGUUUUAGCUCCAAAGUUGUGCAUUUUAAUCGUUCUAAAACUGAUGGAACAGUUGUUUUUCGUGAGUUUGUAUGUGGCAGAGAGGGUUUGAAAAGGAGGUCCGCCGAUAGUUGUAAUGCAAUGCUUAGGAUAGAGUUUAAGGGUCAAAACAAAUGGGUUGUAACCAAGUUUAUAAAAGAGCAUAGUCAUUCUAUGGUGAAUCCCAGUAAAGUUCAUUACCUUCGGCCGCGCAGGCAUUUUGCUGGUGCUACAAAAAGCAUCACUGAAACUUACCAAGGAGUUGGAAUUGUACCCAGUGGUGUGAUGUAUGUAUCCAUGGAUGGAAACCGUGCAUCUGCAGAGGCAAAUCGUGGUCUUAGGAUCUCUCCUGCUGCAGAAUCAAAUCGUGUCAUUAACAAUUCUGCAACAUUGAACUAUGCUGUUAGAUCCAAUUCGCGAAGGAGGACACUGGGAAGGGAUGCACAGAAUCUGUUAGAAUAUUUCAAGAAAAUGCAGGCUGAAAACCCUGGUUUCUUUUAUGCAAUACAACUUGAUGAUGAUAAUUGCAUGGCCAAUGUAUUUUGGGCUGAUGCAAGGUCAAGGACAGCUUACAGCCAUUUUGGGGAUGCAGUUACACUGGACACAAAUUACAGAAUAAAUCAGUAUAAAGUGCCAUUUGCACCAUUUACAGGUGUUAACCAUCAUGGACAAACAAUUUUAUUUGGAUGUGCAAUACUCCUAGACGAUUCGGAGGCUUCUUUUGUUUGGCUAUUUAAGACAUUUCUUACAGCAAUGAACGAUCGACAGCCUGUUUCUAUAAUCACCGAUCAAGACAGGGCCAUACAAACAGCAGUGUCUCAGGUGUUUCCUGAAGCCCGACACUGUAUUAGCAAAUGGCAUGUUUUAAGAGAAGGCCAGGAAAAAUUGGCUCAUGCUUGUCAUGCACAUCCUAAUUUUCAGGUGGAAUUGUACAAUUGUAUCAACUUGAUUGAGACUAUUGAGGAGUUUGAAUCAUCUUGGAGUUCUAUCCUCGAUAAAUAUGAUUUAGGGGGGCAUGAUUGGCUUCAAUCAUUAUACAAUACUCGUGCUCAAUGGGUCCCAGUGUACUUUAGGGAUUCUUUUUUUUGCUGUGAUAUCUCCAAAUCAAGGGUUUGAUGGUUCUUUUUUUGAUGGCUAUGUGAACCAACAAACCACAUUGCCAAUGUUCUUCAGACAGUAUGAAAGAGCUCUAGAGAACUGGUUUGAGAGGGAGCUAGAAGCAGAUUUUGAUACAAUUUGUACCACACCAGUCUUAUGGACACCUUCUCCAAUGGAAAAACAAGCAGCCAAUUUUUAUACAAGGAAAAUAUUUGCAAAAUUUCAAGAAGAGCUAGUUGAAACUUUUGUCUAUACUGCUAAUAAAAUUGAGGGCGAUGGAGCUAUCAGCACAUUCAGGGUUGCAAAAUUGGAAGAUGAUAACAAGGCAUACAUUGUUACAUUAAACUAUCCAGAAAUGAGAGCAAACUGUAGCUGCCAAAUGUUUGAGCAUUCGGGUAUUCUAUGCAGACAUGUUUUGACAGUCUUUACAGUGACAAAUGUGCUUACAUUGCCAUCUCAUUACAUCUUAAAAAGAUGGACAAGAAAUGCCAAAACUGGCACUGGAAUAGAUGAACGCGGUGGUGAAUUGCAUGGCCAAGAGUCUCUUACAUUGCGUUACAACAAUCUGUGUGGGGAAGCCAUCAGAUAUGCUGAGGAGGGGGCAAUAGCUGUGGACACUUAUAACGUUGCAAUUGGUGUGCUUAGAGAAGGUGGGAAGAAGAUUGCUGCUCUGAAGAAAAAUGCUGCUAAAAUUCGACCACCUAGCUCACUGGUUGGUGGGAUUGGUUAUGAUGACAGGAAGACCUCAACAUCAGCAUCGGAUACAAUGCCAUUGCUGUGGCCAAGGCAAGAUGAAGUUACACGUCAGUUUAAUCUGAAUGAUGCUGGUGCUCAAGCUCAAUCUGUUACUGAUUUGAAUCUUCCCCGGAUGGCUCCUGUGUCCCUUCAACGGGAUGAUGGUCCUCCUGGAAAUAUGGCAGUUCUUCCUUGUCUUAAAUCAAUGACUUGGGUGAUGGAGAAUAAGAAUUCAACACCAGGAAACAGAGUUGCUGUCAUCAACUUGAAGUUGCAAGAUUAUAGCAAGACUCCUUCAACAGAAUUGGAGGUUAAGUUUCAACUGUCAAGAGUUACAUUGGAGCCUAUGUUGAGAUCUAUGGCUUAUAUUAGUGAACAGUUAUCUACACCAGCAAACAGGGUUGCUGUCAUUAAUUUAAAGUGCAUGCAAGGAUGAUUAUGCCAACUGCUGCUUUGUCAUUUGAUAACACUGAUGCACUCCUUCAUCCUGUUGUAACCAUAUAUUAUUCUAAGCUAUCAUUGUGGAGCACAAAGCUCACCCCGUAAAGAAGCUUACAAUCAAUUGAUUGUUUCUUUAUGAGUACAUGUGUGGACUGUGGAGUGUGUGAGAGUUGGAUCAGGGGUAUUAUGGAUCCCAAGCCAAAUAAGAAAAAAGAGAAAUCUGCAAGAUACCGAAACAACUUCCGGUGAAUCAGAAGUUAAAUUUCAGGUGUCUCGGGAUACAUUAGGUGCAAUGUUAAGAUCAAUGGCCUAUAUCCGUGAGCAGCUUUCAAAUGCUGCUGAGCCCCAGACAGAGCUUCCAUCAAAGAAGCAGCAGAAAUGAUGACAUUGAAUUUAUUGUCCUUCAUUCCCUGAUGCGUAAACAACUCGUAUGCCAUCGGUGGACUGCAAAGGUGAGAAGGCUUUCCAGAUAGGCUUGUGUAAGAUUCAUUCAAGGAGGAUUUGAUUUGUCCCAAUGACAUGUUUUGUGGGAUGAUUUUCAUGGCGACUUUUUGGUGCUGCUGCUGUCGUUGCUUGUUAGGCUUCAUUCCUUGGACCCAUUUGUCAUUUACACCUACAGAUUGGAGUACUAAAGAAUAAAUAUGGCACACCAUUGUUGUACAGGACCUUUGAGUUAACAUUAAGUCUGUUACUUUCUUGUUUUUCUUAGUUGUUUGCUGCAUGUCCCGCUUUUAUUAUAUUCCACUAUCAAAUGAUCUACACUCUAAUCAAUUUAAUCUAUUAGUUUUAUCUUGUAUUUGCAUAUUAGGUAAAUGCACAAAAAGUUGAUAACUAUAAGGGAGUGUUUGGUACAGAGAUAAUAUGGAACAAUUGUUACUCUUGUAACUUUUAA
This 3657-nucleotide unclassified non-coding RNA is filed under the name Hevea brasiliensis (rubber tree). Lineage: Eukaryota; Viridiplantae; Streptophyta; Magnoliopsida; Malpighiales; Euphorbiaceae. The record is from RNAcentral.